Elaeis guineensis (African oil palm) is the source of this 626-nucleotide non-coding RNA. The record is from RefSeq and is a predicted model, not a curated record. Lineage: Eukaryota; Viridiplantae; Streptophyta; Magnoliopsida; Arecales; Arecaceae.
GGCGAGAGAAAGCGGUGAGGGGAGGAGGAUGGAGUGGUGGCAGCGGAUGGUGGUGCCCGUGAAGCGAGCCCUUUUCGCUCUCGCCGCCCGCAUUAAGUCCCGGAAAGACGGUGAAAUUCUUCUCUCUCUUUUUCUCCUUCUCUAUCUCUCUACCUACGGGGAUGCGGGGGCCGCGGUGCCUGCCACGUUGGGAAAUCCGGCGAUCGGCACGGCCAGCGCGCGGGUCCAUGCACGCGAUCGGAUCUCGCUGCACGCCCCCCAGCGAGAAAGGAAGUAGUGUAUGGGAGGUGGGAUUCUAAAGCUUCACAGCGACGUCCAGAGUUGCGGGUAUCGAGACAUUGAGGUGAUGUGGGAGCUCCUGCAGCGAUCAGAGCCGGAGCUCUCUAAUUCCCCAAAAAGGAAGCGACCGGUUGGAAGGGUGUCGGUGUGGUCGGGCCGGACCUUAUCCAAUUGACCCAAUGCGGCGUUGAUCCAAGCAAGCUGUAAUCCAGAAACUUGGCCGCCUGCAAUAAUUAAGCUCGCAGGAUACCCCAUUGUAUGAUCCUCCUCAAUUUUGAUAUGUACAUAGUGUUAGAUGCCCACCAUAUAAUAAUAAUAAUAAUAAUAAUAAUAAUAAUUAAGAUAAA